Molecule: long non-coding RNA, 135 nt
Filed under: Monodelphis domestica (gray short-tailed opossum)
Lineage: Eukaryota; Metazoa; Chordata; Mammalia; Didelphimorphia; Didelphidae
Description: lncRNA (ENSMODG00000033032.2)
Source: RNAcentral
UGGGGGAUUGAAAUCUAAACCUCCAGCUUUACAUGUAGCAGCCCUCAUUGCUUUUUAUGUCAUUGGAGGUGGAGGGUGGAGGAUAAACUAAAUCCCUGAUUUUGUUGAUACAAGGAACUUCCGGUGGGGAAGCUU